CCUACGGGUGGCUGCAGUGGGGAAUAUUGGACAAUGGGGGGAACCCUGAUCCAGCCAUGCCGCGUGUGUGAAGAAGGCCCUCGGGUUGUAAAGCACUUUCAGUGAGGAAGAACGCCUGGUGGUUAAUACCCAUCAGGAAAGACAUCACUCACAGAAGAAGCACCGGCUAACUCCGUGCCAGCAGCCGCGGUAAUACGGAGGGUGCGAGCGUUAAUCGGAAUUACUGGGCGUAAAGCGCGCGUAGGUGGCUUGAUAAGCCGGUUGUGAAAGCCCCGGGCUCAACCUAGGAACGGCAUCCGGAACUGUCAAGCUAGAGUGCAGGAGAGGAAGGUAGAAUUCCCGGUGUAGCGGUGAAAUGCGUAGAGAUCGGGAGGAAUACCAGUGGCGAAGGCGGCCUUCUGGACUGACACUGACACUGAGGUGCGAAAUCGUGGGUAGCAAACAGGAUUAGAUACCCUAGUAGUC
RNAcentral lists this ribosomal RNA (465 nucleotides) under Vreelandella stevensii. RNAcentral describes it as "partial 16S ribosomal RNA". It matches the Rfam family "Bacterial small subunit ribosomal RNA", at positions 338 to 795 of the family's 1533-position model. Lineage: Bacteria; Pseudomonadati; Pseudomonadota; Gammaproteobacteria; Oceanospirillales; Halomonadaceae. The record is from RNAcentral.